Sitophilus oryzae (rice weevil) is the source of this 1287-nucleotide long non-coding RNA. RefSeq lists it as uncharacterized. NCBI's taxonomy places the organism in Eukaryota, Metazoa, Arthropoda, Insecta, Coleoptera, Curculionidae. The transcript has 4 exons. The record is from RefSeq and is a predicted model, not a curated record.
UGAUUUUAAAGUUUGACAGACAUGCACAAAUUGUUGGCAUUUUUUUAAACAAGUAAAAGUAGGAAAUACAUAAAAUUGUAGGUACUUUGAAGAAAUAUAGUUAACUGUAAGUGCUGUAUUUUAAUAAUCUAUCAAAAAUCAAAAUCAUCAGGAUAAUAUUAGGUAUUGAUUUUCAGACAAGAAUUAGAUUACAGUGAUGGUCAAAAGCAUUUAGAUAUUGCUUUGAAAUCUACAGAUAAGGUAUGGCAGUUUCAUUUUAAAGAACAAGAUGUUAAAGUUUGUGAUAAAAUUGUCAUCAGAAAUACUGUCCACUUCAGUAUUUACAUAGGAAAAUAUUGGAGGAUGAACCUCUACCUACUGCCUCAGGUUAAUUUAAAUUCUGAAUUGCAACAACAGCAACAAGCAAGAAGGGCACCAUUAAAUGAGUAUUAUACACAUAAAGCAACAACACAAUAAAAAACCAAAAUAUGAACACCAGCAACUAAAACAGGAACCAUUAAAUGAAUAUUACACACAGCAAUAACAGCAUCAAAUAAUGGAAAUAAUGGACCCUACUGCUCAAAUCAAAAACAAAAUUUCAUCAUUACCACUUUAUUGGUUAUAUCAAUAAAAGAAAUUAUUGAGUUUAUGAGUCUAGAUCCUACAAGCAAGCAGAUCUAUCACAUAAUUUAAAAUGAAGAUUUAUCUAUUAUAGUAUGUAAUUUAUUCUAAUAAUGAAAAAGAAACUUUGGAUCAAAAAAUAUUUUCUUCUGAUGAGGCUUAUGAAUAUUAAAGUCUGUUGAAGUUUGGCCAUUAUGUGUUGGUAUACAAUUUAUUUAUGAUGUUACAGUAGUUAAACCAUCCGAAUACAAAACAUAUUUAAAAUCCACUAUUCUUAAUGAACCAACUUGAGAGGAAGCUAAGAGAAAGGUUCUAUUGGGUGGACUACAAGAAAAAGGGACAUAUACAUGAGGAUCUGGAAGGGCUAUAACAUUACGUCUCAAGCCAUGGAACAAUAGGAAACGAAAUUCAAAGGAAAAUAUUACAAUACGUGGGAUGCAAAUUAUAGUGCAAAGAAUUGAGAAAAAGAAUUAUUAAAAGUAGUUAUAGUUAUGAUAGUUAAACCAUCCGACUACCAAAUAUAUUUAAAAUCCACUAUUCUGAAUGAAUAGCAACUACCAACUUGGGAGGAAGCUAUGAGAACGAUUCUAUUGGGUGAACUACAAGGAAGACAUGAGGAUCUGGAAGGGCUAUAAAAUUAUAUUAUUCCACGUCCCAAGCCAUGUUGGAAUAGCUGGGAGUGAAAAA